UCUGGGACCGCAGGAGAAAACCAUGAAAAACUUGUGUCUGAAAGAGAGGAUGUUAGAUGGUUUUAAGUAGUAAAUAUAUAUGUUUAGACUUGCACUUUAGUAAGAGGACUCUAAUUGCAUGGAAGAAAAUGGAUUGGAUGUAAACCAGAUUGGAAACAGGAAGUAUGCAUUGUCUGGCACAGGUGAUGGAUAACGUACUCUAUUUAAAACCUUGGAGCAAAAGAUGCUAGGAUGCUACAAAUCAUAGACCUUGUGAUGCUAUGGAAACAACCCUUCUGUGCCCUAGCCCUCGUGCUUCACCAACUGUGUGAACUUACGUCGUCUCCUUAAUCCUGAGUCUCCGCUUCUUACACAGAUAUAAUGGGAAGUCUGUACCAGAGAAAUUAGAACCUUAAUGAAUACAAGGAGAAAUCUAAUGAUAGGCAGGUGGAAGUAUUCUUGGCAGAGUGGAGGACAGAAGCAAGCACUGCGAGGUAGAAAUUUACCGGGGAUAUUAAUCAACAAGCUGAGCAAUGGAAAAUAAGUAUUCAAAAAGGAUUGUCAGAUUGACACGAGGACUAUCAUAUGGAAAUUCAAAUGAUGACUUUCAUUCCAUACAAAGCUCUUUGAAGAAAGCAUCUAUGGAAUUAUAGCAAAUAAGACUUACUAACACUUCACUAAAGAUUUAAGUUUACUCACCUAAUCAAACACAAUUGCUUAAUAGACAUAGACACCCCCACUAGGGCUUGACUUUUUAAAAUUUGCAUUGCAGAGUUAAAGAAUGCAUUUUCCCCCACCCUGCAGAA
This is a long non-coding RNA of Neofelis nebulosa (Clouded leopard), 785 nucleotides long. RefSeq lists it as uncharacterized. The transcript is spliced from 3 exons. The record is from RefSeq and is a predicted model, not a curated record. NCBI's taxonomy places the organism in Eukaryota, Metazoa, Chordata, Mammalia, Carnivora, Felidae.